GCUGGUCUCAAACCCCUGACCUCAGGUGAUCCGCGUGCCUCAGCCUCCAAAUGCUGUGAUUACCGGCAUGAGCCCAAUGUGCUCAGCCAAAUGCCAGUUUUAUAGCUGCGACGUUUGGUUUCUCAAUCUUUCAGGUGAAAUAUUACUUAUUUCACAAACUAGCCUUAGUUGAAAAUACGCACACAUAGAAAACAUGCAAUCUCACAAUCACAUUAAGCAAUGAAGCUGACUUGUAACAUCGACAGCCCCAAGUCACUAAAUGAAUAAAGGGACAUGAGGACCACAGCCUUUUUCUUCUGAGCUGCACAUAUUUGCCAACAGCAUGGAGAAUAUGUGCAUUUAUUUUCAAGGACAGAGAAGGCAGAGUAUGUUAAACUACCCUCCUACCUAACAACUCAUGGGUAAGGAUAACAGAAACAGGAAAAAGAAUAACAGGUGGGAGAAAGCUUAAAGAAGUCAAUUAAAGGGCUGAAAUCCUGGUGCCUGUUGGCAAAAAGAAAGGCAACAAGAAGACGCCUGUGGACUGGCUGCAGCGCAGCCAAGGGACUAGAUGCUUUCACAGGCGCAUCAAGACUAAGGUGAUGCUGAAUUACCUAUCGCGGGACUACAAAUCUGGCCAGCUACCUGCUUUUGUAAAUAAAGUUUUACUGGCACUCAGCCACACUGACUCAUUUAUGUAAUGUCUGUGACUGCUUCCACACUAGAAGGAAGGGCUGAGUGGCUGCAGUAGCUGGCAAAGCCUAAACUACUUUCUGCCAGGCCCUUUACUGAAAAAGUCUGCUGACUUCACCUAUGCUAAACAACUAACAUUUCAAAAAUUAAUGUGGUCACCAUUUUAUCCAGGAAAUUGAAUUUCAAAAUGAUAUGGGCAAGUUUAUUUCUUCCUCCAUGCCUCUCUUUUCUCAACUGUAAAACUGGGAUAACAAGCAUGCCUACUUCCCAAGACUGCUGGACAAUUAAAUAAGCUGGAUAAUGCAGGAUUAAAGGAGCUAACAGAAAGCACUUAGAAUGCUCUAUAAAUACCAGCUAUCCAUUAAAUACUAUUGUAUUGCAACCAGGUACUUGUGGCUUGGGGUAAAAUUCCCCAUGGAAUUUAAAAUAUGCUGUAACUCUAAAUAAAUGAUGGUACAAAUAUGCAAUGGGUUAUUCUGCAGCUGUAAAAAAGAAUGAAGACAUUUAAUGUACUGAUAUGGAAAGAUUACAAUAUAUCCAACAAGCAAAAAAAAAAGAAAUGCAAGCUGCAGAACAGUGGAUAUAGCACUUGCCUUUUAUAUUUUAAAAAGGAGAAAAAUU
Long non-coding RNA from Sapajus apella (tufted capuchin), 1293 nucleotides. RefSeq lists it as uncharacterized. The record is from RefSeq and is a predicted model, not a curated record. The transcript has 2 exons. Lineage: Eukaryota; Metazoa; Chordata; Mammalia; Primates; Cebidae.